GCUUGUCUCAAAGAUUAAGCCAUGCAUGUCUAAGUAUAAACAAAUCUAUACGUGAAACUGCGAAUGGCUCAUUAUAUCAGUUAUAGUUUAUUUGAUGGUUCAUACUACUUGGAUAACCGUAGUAAUUCUAGAGCUAAUACAUGCGUCAAAACCCAACUUCUGGGAGGGUUGUAUUUAUUAGAUGGAAACCAAUUCGGGGCAACCCGGUUCAUGGUGAUUCAUAAUAACUUUCGGAUCGACAGCAAUGUCGAUGCAUCAUUCAAGUUUCUGCCCUAUCAGUUGUGGAUGGUAGGGUAUUGGCCUACCAUGACUUUAACGGGUAACGGAGAAUUAGGGUUCGAUUCCGGAGAGGGAGCCUGAGAAAUGGCUACCACAUCCAAGGAAGGCAGCAGG
Molecule: ribosomal RNA, 393 nt
Filed under: Uroglenopsis americana
Lineage: Eukaryota; Chrysophyceae; Chromulinales; Chromulinaceae
Description: partial small subunit ribosomal RNA
Rfam family: Eukaryotic small subunit ribosomal RNA
Source: RNAcentral